CAGGACAGCCGCGACACCCCGUCAUCUCACCGUGCCACUCUGAGCACACGCCCCAGGACCCCGGGGCUGCGCAACUCAGGCUGACACAGCCUCGGGCUGCCAAAGGUGUUUUAAUUCACCACCUGUGCGUAAAACGUGUUUUAAUGAGCCUGGUGGUUUAGAACAUACAUAGGAGAUAGUCAUAGAAUGGGCUGGGUGGAAGGGACCUUAAAGACCAUCUUGUUCCAACCCCUUCGCCAUGGGCAGGGAGACCUUCCACUAAACCAGGUUGUUGGGAGCCCCAUCCCACCUGGCCGUGAACACUUCCAGGAAUGGGACAUUCACAGCUUCCCUGUGAAGUCUUGAGACUGUCUCGAGAAUCUGCAGUCUUGCCACCCACACAGUAAAGGAUUUCUUCCUAAUUUAAACCUACUCUCUGAGGGCCCAUGUACUGUUCCAUGGAUUAGGCUUUCCUUGGCUGCAGAGGUAGACAAGUGAGGGAUCUGCUGUUCCUUAACAGAAAGAGAGAACCCAAUGCCAGAAGUGUGUUUGAUAUCCAGUCUUGAACAAACAAGACCUCAGUAGUGCAGAAAGACAAAAUUUCAGUGAACCCAGUCAAGAGGCCAAGCCUCAGCCUUCUCCAUACUCUUCUCUGAACAGGUGUUUGCAGCUUUACUGGGUAAAGGGAAUCACAAAUACAGAUUAUUUCAUGCAUAGAGGAGGGAGAAAGCCCUCCAAAUGUUUUAACAGUUGGUCUUUGUAUGCAGGAAAACAUAAGCUCAAGCAAUUCUGCUGAACACAGCUGUGAGCUCUGAGCAAGAGAAGAGAGCGCUCUAUCAGGCCAGUGCAAAAUCACCAAGGACUUUGGGGUAUUGCUCAUAGGUGGUCACAAAAAGUGCUCACAGGACCACCAGAGGCAAGCUCAACACUGGACUUCACAGACACUCCACUGUCCACCUGCUCAGCAAGGGUCAAACCUGGUAUUAACCACAAGCUUUUAUCCCCAAAGGCAGCUGUACCUUGCACCUGCACAUACCAAAAGCAGUAGCUGUGAGGCCACUGUGUCACUCUGGAUCCCCAACCCGGUUUUCAUUCAGGUAUUUCCCUCUGCAGCAAAACACCAGGAACUGAUCCAUGUCACACAAGCAAUGGUUGCUGGCUUCACAUGAACAAGAUGAGGUCACUUGCUUGCUGAGCAUCAAGCUGACAUGUCAAAUCUGCCUCUCCUCUCCUGUUCCCAAACUUCAUUGCUGUGUUUGUGAGCCUGUCCUGCUUCCACUCCUCAUCCCCACCAGAACUGCACAGAUACUAUGCCAAAUCCCCAUCCAACCCUUCCCAGAUAUCUGAGUACUGCAAGCUCACCUGGAAGCACGGCAUGAAUACACAUGUGGACAACACUACAACACCCACCUUCUUCAGCUGCAAACAAUAACCACCUUUGAGACAUGUUAAGAUGUUCAGGACUUGGUAUUUCAUGCAUAGAGAAAGCAGAUCUUUUAAUUUCAAAUGCUUGGAAAAAAAAACAAACAAAAAAACCCCUCAAACAAAAAUAGAGUGUGGAUUUUUAAAAUUUAUUUCCUGCAGUUACAAGGCACUUGAAAUUAUUUUCAUGUGCUGACAUGAGACAGCUGUGUUUGAGUACAUGGAUUAGACAUCAGUACAAUAUGAAGGUAUGCACAAGUUCAAUUGCACAAGACUAGACUGACAAACUGCACAUGACCUAAGUUUUUGGUUUUUUUUAAAAAAAA
This is a non-coding RNA of Cyanistes caeruleus (blue tit), 1727 nucleotides long. Lineage: Eukaryota; Metazoa; Chordata; Aves; Passeriformes; Paridae. The record is from RefSeq and is a predicted model, not a curated record.